CCCCCCUGCUCACUGUUCUUCCCAUGUGAACUCCAGGCAGCAUUUCCUGUCCUCACAACUGUUGCUUCAAUGCAGGCCUCUGAGAAACCAACCCCCCCACCCCACCGCCCCGCCCCACCAUGCUAUACUGAUCCGCAUGGUUCAGGUCAGGCGCGCACGCUGGUGGACCUUCUCACAAGGUUGUUUUCUGAGUUCCAGACUCCCCCAGCCUGUGUGUGAAUGCAUCUGCCUGUAGGAGGGAGUCCUCCAAAAUGCAAACCACAUGGGCUUGAAGCGAGAAGGCUGGUUGUAUUCUAUCCUACAAAAAACCAGCAAAAUCCAAAAAUACAGUCAAAUCCGGUGACUGAAGAUCUCCACGGAUCGUAAUGUCCUCAGGGACAUCACCAUUCAGAGCGCCCCUGGGCAGGCUGGAGGCUACGGGCCCUGCUCAGGUGCGGCUGCAGAGUGGAAUAGGCUCCUAAUAAGGCAGGUGUCAGUCGAGAGAAAAUAUGAUUAGUGAUGGUUUGUGAAGGAGCACAUGCGCCCGGAGAGGCUAGGAAGGAAGGUGACUGCCGAAGGGGUAUGCGAUCAAACUCUAAAAGUCCUCGUAUCCCCAACAGGGCUGAUGGGGAUUCAGGAACACGAACAUGUUGAUCCUACUUCUGUGUUGGAGAGCAGGGAACUCACGACAGCAAGCCAUCCUGUUACCGAAGCUUUGGAUCAUCUAACAGAAAAACAUGAAAAUUGGGGGCUCAGAGAGAGACUUACUGCCCAUGUGCGUGCACACUUAGUGCCCACCAAGAAGCCCUCAGCUAAAUGACUCCAUGGCUGCAAAAAUGUAUGACCUUGAACAGCACAUCAAGCCCCUGUCUGUUCGCCCUAUGCGCCAGGUCAUUCCGGAGAAACAAGGUAGUGUGUUAUACAAAUGGGCUGGGGAGGCAGAUCUUCAGUAAAUGGUGUUCCUUGUGCUCUACCACGCAUGGAACACGACUGUGUGUAGUGCUCAACUUUUUUUCUUGGCUGUGGGUUUCCCUCUUGCCUUUUAAACGCGCGCGCGCACACACACACGGUCUACUUGACCACUAACACACUGUGAUAACCUCAAAGCAAGUCCUCACAACUGGAAGUUGCUCUUUAAUUAUUCAUAGAUAUGACAAAACUCAUCAUCCAUCCCCAGGUCUGAGGUACCCUGGGACCCCAGCCGCAGCUCCAGCAGCUCCUCCCAAACUACAGCCUCUUGGAUAUGAACAGCAGAGCCCAGAUUCCUUCACAGCCGACCUGGGGCUAACCUCCUCCAGGAUCUGUCCCUCUGUCUGCUGCAUGAUGGAAAGACAAGGACUUUCAACAGGUGGCAUGAGGCCAGGGAAACAGCCUCCAUACACACUCGCACUGAUCGUGUUAAUCAGUCUGUUUAAGAAGCAGACUAAAGAUGAAGAUCAUUAAGCUACGAUUCAUACCAACAAUAUAUAAUUAAAAAGUUAAAAAAAAAAAAAAAGAGGGGUGCCUGGGGGGUCAGUUGUUAAAGCCUCUGCCUUCAGCUUGGGUCAUGAUCUCAGGGUCCUGGGAUCAAGCCCCACAUUGGAGUCUCUGCUCAGCAGGGAGCCUGCUUCCUCCUCUCUCUCUCUGCCUGCCUUUCUGCCUACUUGUGAUUUCUCUGUCAAAUAAAUAAAUAAAAUCUUAAAUAAAAAAAAGAAAGAAAACCUGUUUGCCUCACUGCUUUCA
Molecule: long non-coding RNA, 1701 nt
Filed under: Mustela putorius furo (domestic ferret)
Lineage: Eukaryota; Metazoa; Chordata; Mammalia; Carnivora; Mustelidae
Description: lncRNA (ENSMPUG00000030141.1)
Source: RNAcentral